Molecule: long non-coding RNA, 489 nt
Organism: Humulus lupulus (European hop)
Lineage: Eukaryota; Viridiplantae; Streptophyta; Magnoliopsida; Rosales; Cannabaceae
Exons: 4
Source: RefSeq, a predicted model, not a curated record
GGAAAUGGGUAUAUAUAUUGACUUCAUUAUUCUAAAAACUUAUUUAAUGAGUAUAUAUAUUGACGUCUUCAACAAGAAGAAUACUUUGGAGCUCCCAAAUUCAUGAAGGAUGUUGUGGACGUCCAUGAUAGUUUAGCUGCUGAAGUUGAACAUGGUGAUGCUUCCAGAAAGGAAAGGUCCUCAGUUCAAGGUGUAGAACAGUAACUAGAAUGACAGGUGAACUUCAUUGGAUUCAAUAGUCAUUACGUUAUGAGGAUGAUGAAGAAUGUACUUAUUAAUGCCCCUCAUAUCAAGCAUUUCUUGUCGAAACAGUUCACCUCCGACAAACCAUAUACUACUCAAGAAAUUGACGAAGUUAGAGAAGAAUGGGCAAUGUCAUAUUUACAAUUGGUUAGAGCAAAAUGAAUGAUAUUAUAGCUAGCUAAUUACAAUACAUGUUUAGAAAUUUUAAAUUUAUUUCGUAAAUUUUUUUUGCCAUUUUUUUUAGUA